GACGAACGCUGGCGGCGUGCCUAACACAUGCCAGUCGAACGCUGAAGGAGGACCUGGCUUCUCUGGAUGAGUCGCGAACGGGUGAGUAACGCGUAGGUAACCUGCCUGGUAGCGGGGGAUAACUAGUGGAAACGAUAGCUAAUACCGCAUAAUAGUAGAUGUUGCAUGACAUUUGCUUAAAAGGUGCAUUUGCAUCACUACCAGAUGGACCUGCGUUGUAUUAGCUAGGUGGGGGGGGAACGGCUCACCAAGGCGACGAUACAUAGCCGAGCUGGGAGGGUGGUCGACCAACCUGGGACUGGGACACGGCCCAGGAUCCUUCGGGAGGGAGCAGGAGGGGAACUUUGGCAAUGGGCGGAAGUCUGGACGAAGAACGCCGCGUGGGGGGAGGAGGGUUUCGGGUCGGAAAGGUCGGUUGUGAGGGGAGAACGGGUGUGAGGGUGGAAAGUUCACGCUGUGACGGUACCUUAACAGAAAGCGCCGGCUAACUACGUG
This 495-nucleotide ribosomal RNA is filed under the name uncultured bacterium. RNAcentral describes it as "partial 16S ribosomal RNA". It matches the Rfam family "Bacterial small subunit ribosomal RNA", at positions 28 to 507 of the family's 1533-position model. The record is from RNAcentral.